Molecule: long non-coding RNA, 599 nt
Filed under: Homo sapiens (human)
Lineage: Eukaryota; Metazoa; Chordata; Mammalia; Primates; Hominidae
Description: HSALNT0139696
Source: RNAcentral
GGGUGCAGCAAAUGCCAAGGCCUUGAAACAGGAGCUGAGCAGUGUGUGCCUGGAAACUACAGAGCUGAUGUGGUGUGAAUGGGAGAGAACUAGGAGCCAGAUCAGAGAGGUAGCAGGGGCCAGAUCACGCAAGACUUUGUAGAUCAACGUAAGGACUUCGGUAUCUAUUCCAAGCAAGGUUUCAGACAAGCAACUGUUGGAUUAGAGCAUACAGGGACAUAUAUUGUCCUACUGCCCCCUGUGGUUAGUAUGAUUUGUCUGACUAGCUAGUUAUUAAUAGUUGUCCCCUUCUCCUACCACUUCAAGCCCACUUCAACCAGCUCCUUCCAAAUGCUCAAGAGAAGACUUCAGAAGAAAUUCAAAGUUUUCAAAAUGAUGUUGGAUUGAAAGUUCUGAUGAUGUUCUAUAAACCAAGAGUUUGCAAACUGUGGCCAAAUCCUGCUCACCCUCUGAUUGUGUAUAGCCCCAAGCUAAGAAUGGUUUUUACAUUUUAAAGUAGCUGGAAAAUAUCAAAAGAAGAGUAAUAAUAUUUUGUGACACAUGAAAAUUCAUGAAAUUCAAACUUCAGUGUCCGUAAAUAAAGCUUACUGAAACAGAGC